RNAcentral lists this ribosomal RNA (253 nucleotides) under uncultured prokaryote. RNAcentral describes it as "partial 16S ribosomal RNA". It matches the Rfam family "Bacterial small subunit ribosomal RNA", at positions 525 to 777 of the family's 1533-position model. The record is from RNAcentral.
ACGUAGGGGACAAGCGUUAUCCGGAUUUACUGGGCGUAAAGCGCCCGUAGGCGGCCUGACAAGUUGGACGUGAAAGCUCCUGGCUUAACUGGGAGAGGCCGUUCAAAACUGUCAAGCUAGAGUCUGGAAGAGGAGAGCGGAAUUCCCGGUGUAGUGGUGGAAUGCGUAGAGAUCGGGAGGAACACCAGUGGCGAAAGCGGCUCUCUGGUCCAAAACUGACGCUGAGGGGCGAAAGCGUGGGUAGCAAACAGGA